GUAAGAUUGCAGUUUUCAAAAAUAAAAAGUUUGAAAACAUCAUUUAGUCGAAUUUAACUUCAAUAUUAUCACAAUUUUUCGUUUCAUAAACAAUCAGCAACUUUUGCAAUAUUUCGUGUUUGAGGCAAAUUAUUGUCCAUCGUAAGACGUGUUCAAAGGCGUUCCAUUCGGCUAUAAUAUACAUUUACAUAAAAUAUAAGGAUACUUACUGCUUCUUAAGUAUUGAUUGAUUUUUAAUAUUAUUCGAGCUAACGCUUUUUAAGCGAAAGUUAGAAAGCAAAUAUAUCUUUUGACAUGAAACGUUCAAAAUUCGGAAAAAUCCGCGAAAACUUUUGCAGGCUCGAAAAAUCCGGCGAAUAAAUCCGCAGAUCUGGCAGCACUGGAGACGAUCAAAUUAACGGCCGUCAAAUAAAAGUAUAAAAAAUUUUUGAUUUUCAUCAAACAGAGCCGACAAAAGCCGAUGACACCAAUACACUUAAAGCGUUUAAUGGAAUUACUUGAUCGCCUGAAGGGCACCUUAGAGCAUGCGAAUUGCUUUUGAAACGAUGAUGCUUUUGAAACGAGAUGUUCAUUGUGUAAAACAGGACAUUUUGUAGACUAGUAUCUCUCGUAUAUUCAUGUUUAUUUUUUAUUAAAACUUUAAAACCUUCUGAAUAACUUUUCGCAUUUUUUCGGAAAGGAACCUGCGCAAAAAAGGUGGACAGAAUCCUAAUCAUGACUAAAAAAAUAAAUUUUAAUGCCAACAAGCCGAUAAUUGAUGAAAAUAUAAGAUAUGUGUGCAUUAAUCAUAAAAACAAGAGAAAUUCGUAAACUGGGCAUUUGAAAACAUUAAAAUUUGCUAACAUAUCUUGUUCAAAACAAAAAAAAAUGUUUUGUAGAGCUCUGUAAUUACUUGUGGCAGUUAUAUCAUCAAUGUUUGAGGAAAUUUCACAUAUCUUGAAUGUAUGAUCAGUAAAAUUUCUUAUACUGAAGUAAUAAUUACAUUUUGUAUGUACCAUAUUAGCAAGUUACAAUUGGGCUAAAAACAACAUAUCAAUGUAAAAUUAUGCUUAUGACGUUCGCUCAAACAUAAUGUCAUGUACAAUCAUGAUCACAUGAAAAAUUUGUAGUCAACCCGAAGGAGAAAACUGCGGCAAUACCGAACAACCAUUUUGUGCGUUAUAUAUUUUUGCAAUCAUUGCUGUACUAUGCGGUAUAUAUACAUAGUAUGUAAUACAAGCGUACAAAAAUAUAUACUUAUGUACAUAGGGGAUAGAGUCGACGAACUAAUGACUUCUAUAAGCUACAAGUAAACUGUUGAAUAAAAGAUAUGUAUACUGUUAGAGAACAGAAGGUGGUUGUUAAAUGAUAUGGUCUCACGCCCACUAACUAUGCAGUCAGCAACAGCAGAAAAGCCGCAUAAAAAUCGAUAAUUCUCAUUUGUUUCAAACGACUGUAGCAACAUCAACAGUUACAACGUCUGCAAUAAAAGAAUAAAAGUGGCAUAAGCAAUAUUCCGAAAAGCAGUUAGAAAGAAUGGUAAAAUGGUGCUUUAUAUCACUUUACAUAUUAAUAGUUAUGCAGGAUGGAUGGGAAAGCACAAACUGAUUCAGUUAUAAAUUAAUAUAUUAAACUUGGGCUUUGUAUUGGAAUUAAGUUAAACAUAUAAACUUCGCGGGUCGUUAGUAUCUGAGCGAUGCCACGCCCACAACAGAUUACCAGUCAAAAUUUUACGAAUUACUACAAUUAUGCUAUCAAUUAAAAUAUAAAAUUGUUGUAAAAGGUGUCAUUCAUUAGUAGAUAAAAUUUUUUAUAAUGUACAUACGUAUUUUCAUACAAAAAAAACAAUAU
Molecule: long non-coding RNA, 1830 nt
Organism: Bactrocera oleae (olive fruit fly)
Lineage: Eukaryota; Metazoa; Arthropoda; Insecta; Diptera; Tephritidae
Source: RefSeq, a predicted model, not a curated record